GAAAUCCCUGAUUUAGGUAAAAACAUUUUAAUUGAAGAAGGCAUUGUAGAGUCUUCUGAUGACAGUGAUGGGGAAGAAAUGGCAAACAAAAGUAUUGUUGUCACGGAAGAAGUUGGUGGAGUUUUGAAAUCAGUGGAAUGUUUGGUGGAAGCAGAGGAUGAUAAGGAGAUGAAUACAAUUCUGGCGGUUGAUCGCAAAUGCAGAGGGAGUCGAAAAGAGAACACAGAAGGCUGUUGUAUAAAACACCUGUCUCCGUAUUACAUCUUCAAACUAAGGACAACCAUGGCAUCCGUGACAAAGAGGGAGAAAGAUCUGAUGAUUCUUAUGGCAUUGCACAUGGUCAGUGUGAACCAGAGUGACUUGACACAAUGGGCCAAGCAAGCUGUAUAAACAAAACGGAAACGACACAGGACGUCUUAUUUAAUGAAAGGGGUUGCAGUCUGCCGUGAAGCAUUCAUCCAUGUAUACAGUUCCUUAUUUUAUAUUCCUUGGAGGCAGCAGUAUCUAUUCCAGACAAUCCAUCUUAGUGCCCAUGGUUUAUGUUGAAAACAACUGGAAAAGGGAAUUUAUUGAAUCGCAUUUAACCCAGUUGAAGACAUUUGGAAAGGUAUCGCCCAUCUUCUCCACUUAUCCUCUGGGUAUUUACACCUGUGUUUUCUGUCUCUGUUGCCAGUUCGUCUUGUUUGUUCAAGCCUACCAGAGUUUUGUGUCUCAGCUGCUUUUUCCAGUUUCUCUUUUCUUGUUCUCCUGGUUUUUGACCCUUGCCUGUCCUGACCCUGUACUCACCCACCUGACCACUCUGCCUGUCCCUGAGCCUGCCUGCCGUCCU
Molecule: long non-coding RNA, 829 nt
Organism: Salmo salar (Atlantic salmon)
Lineage: Eukaryota; Metazoa; Chordata; Actinopteri; Salmoniformes; Salmonidae
Source: RefSeq, a predicted model, not a curated record